CCUACAGUGUAUGGAAACUUUAUGUAUCGACUGCUCAUUUUUAUAAUGCCAUCCAAAACGGCAGGCAUUACAUUACUCAGCGAUGGCUGAGAUAUUCCAGACCUAAAAUGGAAUGUAACAACUUAUUGAAACCCACUGAGUGUUGGGCUGGAACAUGUCAGCUUAGAUUAAAUUAAAAUUACCUGUCGGCUAAUUCCCGCUGGAAAGAGCCGGUUGCCAGAAUCCCGAGAGUUGUCAGCACCUGCAUAUGCGCGGGUAUGGCAUGGUUCCGGCGGGUUGAUCGCUCCAACACUGGGCCCAACUCAGCACAUAGAUUUAAGAGCACUGCUCUAGGAAAUCUAAAUCGGCAUAUCAGCCAGUCAUCAUCGUUGGCCAGGAAAUCUUGAUGGUCUCUAAAAACUCUCUCCAUCCUGAUCCUGCCGUUUGCGUAAUCUUCAAGGAGUGCCAGCGCAUCCAUUGUGAAGUUCUGCAUUACGCACGGUCGUAAUUCACCUAUUUAUGUUUACUCAGUAAUUACACUCAUUACUACACACCUUGUCACAAUUAGGCUUCUGUGAACAAAUGAGUGCAUUUGCUUUACGAUCAAAACAAGUAAGACCAUACUGCACUGACAACAUUAAAUUCCUAUGGGGUGCCUAUAAGUCGGCUACAGGUAUGAUUUCAGGAACGCAUCUAUAUUUCAGGCUUCUGUGUUUAUGAUUCUAUGGCACUAGUGUCGGAUAUGAUGGCAUGAUGGCAUGAUGGCAUGCAUGAAUGAAGGUGAAGUUCAUCACCUCACCAGCAGCACCGCCAGUUUCCCGUCUCCAAAAUGUUCGUAAGCAAGUUUCAGAGUUUACGUACCGGUACGCACAUUUUCCCGCCACGUUAGUUUUUAUAAAUCAGAAACUUUCCGUAGAAAGUCACUUACGCCGCUUUUUGUGCGUAAGCAAGCUUUAUAAAUGAGCACCCUGAUCUGUGUUCCAUGAUUAACAUUUAA
Long non-coding RNA from Melanotaenia boesemani (Boeseman's rainbowfish), 976 nucleotides. RefSeq lists it as uncharacterized. The record is from RefSeq and is a predicted model, not a curated record. NCBI's taxonomy places the organism in Eukaryota, Metazoa, Chordata, Actinopteri, Atheriniformes, Melanotaeniidae. The transcript is spliced from 3 exons.